RNAcentral lists this long non-coding RNA (3906 nucleotides) under Gossypium raimondii (Peruvian cotton). Its description in RNAcentral is "long non-coding RNA (GRAI_LNC010250)". Lineage: Eukaryota; Viridiplantae; Streptophyta; Magnoliopsida; Malvales; Malvaceae. The record is from RNAcentral.
UGACCCCAAGAACAUCACGAGCAACUGGUUUGGGCCCAACGUGUGUGAUUACAAAGGUGUUUAUUGUGUCCGAGCAAUGGAUGACCCCAAAUUAAAAGUUGUGGCUGGUAUUGAUCUUAACCAUGCUGACAUCGCCGGUUACCUUCCGGUGGAGUUGGGGUUGCUGACCGAUGUUGCAUUGAUACAUUUAAACUCUAAUAGGUUUUGUGGGAUCAUCCCCGAGAGCUUAUCCGAGCUUACACUUAUGCAUGAAUUUGAUGUUAGCAACAACCGGUUCGUGGGGGAUUUCCCUAAAGUUGUACUGUCAUGGCCGAGCGUGAAGUUUAUUGAUCUCCGGUUCAAUAAUUUUGAAGGUUGUUUACCACCUGAGCUCUUCAAAAAGGAUCUGGAUGCAUUGUUUCUGAACGAUAAUCGCUUCACUUGCAACAUCCCUGAAACAAUCGGCAAAUCGACUGUCUCCGUUGUGACAUUCGCCAACAACAAGUUCAAAGGAUGUAUUCCACGUAGCAUUGGAAAGAUGUCGAACUUGGACGAGAUCAUUUUCUCAAACAAUAACCUCGGUGGUUGUUUCCCUCAAGAAAUUGGAUUGCUUCGAAAUGUUACUAUUUUCGAUGUUAGCAAGAACUCGUUCGUGGGUAGCUUGCCCGCAAACUUUUCGGGAUUCGAGAAGGUUGACGUUUUGGAUAUUUCCGGGAACAAGUUGACGGGGAGUGUGCCGGAGGAUAUUUGCAAGUUGCCGAGCUUGUCUAGUUUCAAGUUUUCUUACAACUAUUUCAGUGAGGAGCAUAUGGCUUGUAUAAAGCCUGAAAGGAAGAACAUUGUGGUGGAAGAUACUGGUAAUUGUGUGGCUGGCCGGAUGAAGCAAAAGACAGAUAAAGAGUGCAAACAGGUGGUGAGUAACCCGGUUGAUUGUAGCAAGGACAAAUGUACUGGAGGGUCUCCACCUUCUAAGCCUAAAUCACCACCACUACCACCGGUCCACUCCCCACCCCACCACGUCGCACUCCCACCCCACCACGUGCACUCACCACCCCACCCGUCCACUCACCACCCCCACCCGUCUACUCACCACCACCACCAGUGCACUCACCACCACCACCCGUCUACUCCCCACCACCACCCGUCUACUCCCCACCACCACCCGUCUACUCACCACCACCACCCCCACCCGUCCACUCCCCACCACCACCACCAGCAGUACAGUCCCCACCCCCACCAGUACAAUCUCCACCUCCACGAACUCCAUCUCCUCGUCCUGUUGUGUCUACACCGCCACCUACAAAAGAUAUUGUCCUCCCACCAAACAUAGGAUUCGAAUACCAAUCGCCACCUCCACCAAUGUUUCCAGGCUACUAAACAGUACUACAGCCUUAACAUCUUUGUAUUGUAUAUUCUCGCUCUCGGGCAUAAAAGGAAAAAAAAAAGAGCCAUAAAUUACAAUUAUGUCAUUACCUUUUCUUGCGUUUGCAAUUACUAUUCAAAUUGUAACAUCAUUGCGAAAGCUCUUAUAUUUAUAUAUGAAUCUUAAUUACUAGUAACUUUCAUCUUUUCCCUCUUCCUCUUUUGUUAAUAUUGGAAAAAUAAAUAUUUGUGAUAUAUAAUUUAUAUGUCACUUCAGCAUGUUGUGUUGGUUUCGGGUUGCAUCAAUUUCAAUCGGAUCAAUUUGAUUUUUGAUCAUUUAUGUUUAUUUUUUUUUCUUUCAAGAGUGACACUUAAUUUCGAGUUUUUUAUUCAUGUUUUUUAAGUUUGAUUUUUUUUUAUAUGUUGGAAUUGGGUAGGUUUGAUUAUUUACUUUUUGAAAAAAGUUUUGGUUUUCUCCUUAUUCUAAUUUGAUAUCGCAACUAUGUUCCAACAUAAAUUAGAAUAAGAUGGAUUAAUAAAAGUUUUCAAAUAGAAAUAACACACAAGAUUUAUUAACAUAGUUCAUAUAACAUUCUUACUUUGUAAAGCCUUAUUAAGGGUGUACAAAAUUCGAUGGAAAAAGCCACCCAAAUCAACUCAAUUCGAUUUUUUUGUUCGAUUUUAUUGAAUUCAAAUAUCUAAAUAUAAUAUUUUAUAUUUUUACUUCAAACCCCUAAACUUUUUUACUUUUCCUAAAAACUUUUACUCCUCUCCUAUCCCACCCCCAAACCCAUUCCUCCACCCCCCCAAUAUUUUUUUUGAAUAUUCCCCCUCAAAAUUUUACUCUCCAAACUCUAAAACUUUUUAUUUUUCCCUAAAACUGUUACUUUUCAUCAUAUACCCUCAAAUCAAAAAUCAAAAUCAUCCAAUUUCACAUAUUUUCCAUGAAAUUGUCUAAUAUUCAAGAAAUCUUCAUUAUGAUCUCCAUGAGUUGCAAUUACAUGUUUCACUUGAGCAUUGACUUAUAAUGUCAACAAAAGCAAAUCCAAAUAUAACACUAAAGGCAUUCAAAUUAUAUAUAAUCAUGUAAUAUUAUAAUAGAACAGUCAACAAUAUUAAUUAUUUGGUCUAACUAAUAAUAUUAUAAAAUUCUAAAGAUCUUAUUAUAUUAAAAAUUAAAUAUAGCGAGCUUAAGGAAAAAAUCAUAUACCCAAAUUUCGUUGCUUUUAUAUAAUAAAGGUAUUCAUCUUAAUUAGUGCCAUCAAUGUUGGUGUAAUUAAUCUUCCAAAAAUGGUAUAAUUAAUCACAUAUUAUUAUGACGUUUUUUUAUAUUAAAAGGUCAAAUUCGGUUUUUGUCCCUCUACUAUAUUAGAAUUAAAAAUUCAGUCUGUUUUAUUUUAAUUUAGCAUAAUUUGGCCCUCUUACUUCAUUAUUAAUUAAUCUAAAAUGUUAACACCAUUAACUAUUUUAAUCAAAAUACUUAUAUGAUUUUUUUUAAAAAAAAAUCAGUGUUAAGCAUUUAGUUAAUACGUAAUUUUUUAUUAAAAUUUUUUUGAUUAAUUUUUUUUAGAAAAAGCACAAUUAAAAAAAGAAUAAUUAACAAUGCUAAAAAAUUGAUAUAAAAAUAGAAUGACCAAAUCAUAGUGAAUUGGAGUAUAAAAACUAAAUCAUGAAUUUUAGAUAUAGUAGAAGGACCAACAUAUAGUUUGACCUAUUAUAAAAUAAAGAUAGAAAAUUCAAGUUAAAAUUGGUUAAAUAGUAUCUAUACAUAAGCCUUACAUUUCGCUUCGCCUCUAAAGUUACAGAACCUCUAAUUAUAUGUGAAACCAGCAAACUUCUCGAGAACUAAAGCAAGAACCCAACAUCCCAUUCGUCCCCGAUAUAAGCUCCUUUCCAUCUCCAUCAACAUUGCCUAACCAGCCUCGGGCCUUCCAAGGUGAACAAACAAAAUGGCAAGUCGUCAAAGUUUUCAGGCCUUCGGCUGCUUUCAUUUGUUCUUUUGGAUUUUCUUUCGUUCAUUCACACCCACUUUCACAGCCGAAGCGUCUUCAAUCGCUGAUCGUCACCUGUUGUCACUCCCCAAAAAUGGUAAACUCCCCGACGGGUAUGAAUAUACGGUGAAAACGACAGAGAAAUUCGAGAAUGAAAGGCUUAGGAGGGCUUUCAUUGCUCUUCAAGCAUGGAAGAAGGCUAUGUACUCUGACCCCAAGAACAUCACGAGCAACUGGUUCGGGCCCAACGUGUGUGAUUACAAAGGUGUUUAUUGUGUCCGAGCAAUGGAUGACCCCAAAUUAAAAGUUGUGGCUGGUAUUGAUCUUAACCAUGCUGACAUCGCCGGUUACCUUCCGGUGGAGUUGGGGUUGCUGACGGAUGUUGCAUUGAUCCAUUUAAACUCCAACAGGUUUUGUGGGAUCGUCCCUGAGAGCUUAUCUGAGCUUACACUUAUGCAUGAAUUUGAUGUUAGCAACAAUUGGUUCGUGGGGGAUUUCCCCAAAGUUGUACUGUCAUGGCCGAGCGUCAAGUAUAUUGAUCUCCGAUUCAAUAAUUUUGAAGGUUGUUUACCAC